AACGAACGCUGGCGGCAUGCCUAACACAUGCAAGUCGAACGAGACCUUCGUGUCUAGUGGCGCACGGGUGCGUAACGCGUGGGAACCUGCCCUUAGGUUCGGAAUAACUCCCCGAAAGGGGUGCUAAUACCGGAUAAUGUCUUCGGACCAAAGAUUUAUCGCAUUUGGAUGGGCCCGCGUUGGAUUAGCUAGUUGGUAGGGUAAAAGCCUACCAAGGCGACGAUCCAUAGCUGGUCUGAGAGGAUGAUCAGCCACACUGGGACUGAGACACGGCCCAGACUCCUACGGGAGGCAGCAGUGGGGAAUAUUGGACAAUGGGCGAAAGCCUGAUCCAGCAAUGCCGCGUGAGUGAUGAAGGCCUUAGGGUUGUAAAGCUCUUUUACCCGGGAUGAUAAUGACAGUACCGGGAGAAUAAGCUCCGGCUAACUCCGU
Molecule: ribosomal RNA, 432 nt
Filed under: uncultured bacterium
Lineage: Bacteria
Description: partial 16S ribosomal RNA
Rfam family: Bacterial small subunit ribosomal RNA
Source: RNAcentral